UGGUUUGUCAAAGUGAGAUAUGGU
RNAcentral lists this non-coding RNA (24 nucleotides) under Arabidopsis thaliana (thale cress). The record is from RNAcentral. Lineage: Eukaryota; Viridiplantae; Streptophyta; Magnoliopsida; Brassicales; Brassicaceae.